RNAcentral lists this small RNA (83 nucleotides) under Flavobacterium aquatile LMG 4008 = ATCC 11947. RNAcentral's name for it is "Flavobacterium aquatile LMG 4008 Flavo-1 RNA". It matches the Rfam family "Flavo-1 RNA". Lineage: Bacteria; Pseudomonadati; Bacteroidota; Flavobacteriia; Flavobacteriales; Flavobacteriaceae. The record is from Rfam by way of RNAcentral.
AACUAGCCCCGAUUAAAGUGAAAAUAAAAAAUGUCCCGAUUGUUUCGGGACAUUUUUUAUUGCAACGGAAAGCGGGAAAAUGG